AGGAGUGGGCCCAAAGCAGAGCCUUGUGGUGCUCCGCCUAGCCGAUCAGUUUUGAUUAUGUUUGUAUGGACUGUAAAACUUCAAUUUGAAAGGAUUGAUCUUAGAUCUAAAAGGCGUUGAAGCAGUAAUGUGAACCAGUGAGAUGAAACAAUAGAACAGGAAGAGGAGGAAGGUGUGUAAAAGACACCUCCCACAACAUAAAGUGUCCAUUUAAUCAAAAGGAAAGUUAGAAAUGAUCUUUAUUCAACUGCAACAAAAUGAUCAUCGUUUUCAUUUCAAUUUGUUUUAACUCUAUUCUGGUUUCAGGUUCUCUCAGCGACAAAGUCCACCAGAAUCCAGCUGUCAUUGUCAAAAUUCCUGGAGAAAAAGCUCAAAUCCAGUGUUCACACACAAUUACAAACUAUGACACAAUCCUCUGGUACAAACAGUUGAAGAAUGGACAUUUAGAGCUACUGGGAUACAUGUAUAAAAACUUUGAGAAUCCAGAGAAAGGAGUGAAGGUGACCAUGGAUGGAAAUGCAGAUAAAAACCAAACAUGCUUGUUAACAACUGAAGCACUGAGCUUGAAAAGCAGCGCUGUGUACUUCUGUGCUGCCAGUUACCACAGCUCUACAUGUCACUGAUUCUUAGUGCAAAAACCUCAAUUUUUCUUCUUCUAUCACAAACAUUCAGCUGUUUUAUGAACACUCGUUAGGUGGCAGUGUGUCUCCAGUCAGACCUUUACUCUAAACCACUUCUGUGGUGAGUACUACAGCAGAACCAGGAGGAGGAUGGACUACGACACCGCCCAUCUAAUCACGACGUUUGCUGAUUCUGUAGUUGAUUCAGAAACACGGUGGUAAAUGUGCUGCACGUGCAUGAAGGGAGACAACUAAAUAUUAUUCUGUUUUCUAGCUUUCUAACUAAAUAUCAGGAGAUCCCAUGAUGCUCAUCUUCUUCUUCAGCAUUACUUUUACCACCAUGCUGGUUUCAGGUAAUGUCCUCCGAAUAAUUAGAGCAUUUUGAAAAUGUAAAAUCUGCAUUUUUUUAUUAAUAUAAACUGUUCUUGUUUCUGAAUUUCCUCGUUUUAAGAUGAUUUGAAUUCCUUUUCCUGCAGACUCUUCUCCCAACGACCAAGUGCAUCAGUCUCCACUAGAAAUGUUCAACACAUUAAACAGUGAAGCUGAAAUUUAGUGUUUUCACAUCAGUGAUAGCGUUGACACAAUCCUCUGGUACAAACAGUCAAACAUGCAGCUCCUGGGAUACAUGUUAGCAGGCUCUGAAAAUCUAGAGACAGGAGUGAAUGUGAAGAUUAAUGGAGGUGCAAAUAAAGGAGAAAAGUGCACGUUAACAAUCAAAGAACUCAGCCUGAACAGCAGUGGAGUUUACUUCUGUGCUGCUAGUUAACA
Molecule: non-coding RNA, 1388 nt
Organism: Nothobranchius furzeri (turquoise killifish)
Lineage: Eukaryota; Metazoa; Chordata; Actinopteri; Cyprinodontiformes; Nothobranchiidae
Source: the annotation of a RefSeq genome assembly